GACGAACGCUGGCGGCGUGCUUAACACAUGCAAGUCGAACGGAAAGGCCCUGCUUUUGUGGGGUGCUCGAGUGGCGAACGGGUGAGUAACACGUGAGUAACCUGCCCUUGACUUUGGGAUAACUUCAGGAAACUGGGGCUAAUACCGGAUAGGAGCUCCUGCUGCAUGGUGGGGGUUGGAAAGUUUCGGCGGUUGGGGAUGGACUCGCGGCUUAUCAGCUGGUUGGUGGGGUAGUGGCUUACCAAGGCUUUGACGGGUAGCCGGCCUGAGAGGGUGACCGGCCACCUUGGGACUGAGAUACGGCCCAGACUCCUACGGGAGGCAGCAGUGGGGAAUAUUGCACAAUGGGCGGAAGCCUGAUGCAGCAACGCCGCGUGCGGGAUGACGGCCUUCGGGUUGUAAACCGCUUUCGCCUGUGACGAAGCGUGAGUGACGGUAAUGGGUAAAGAAGCACCGGCUAACUACGUG
This 468-nucleotide ribosomal RNA is filed under the name uncultured bacterium. RNAcentral's name for it is "partial 16S ribosomal RNA". It matches the Rfam family "Bacterial small subunit ribosomal RNA", at positions 28 to 507 of the family's 1533-position model. The record is from RNAcentral.